This 536-nucleotide ribosomal RNA is filed under the name uncultured bacterium. RNAcentral describes it as "partial 16S ribosomal RNA". It matches the Rfam family "Bacterial small subunit ribosomal RNA", at positions 355 to 883 of the family's 1533-position model. The record is from RNAcentral.
UGGGGAAUUUUGGACAAUGGGCGAAAGCCUGAUCCAGCAAUGCCGCGUGUGUGAAGAAGGCCUUCGGGUUGUAAAGCACUUUUGUCCGGAAAGAAAUCCUUGGCUCUAAUACAGUCGGGGGAUGACGGUACCGGAAGAAUAAGCACCGGCUAACUACGUGCCAGCAGCCGCGGUAAUACGUAGGGUGCAAGCGUUAAUCGGAAUUACUGGGCGUAAAGCGUGCGCAGGCGGUUUGCUAAGACCGAUGUGAAAUCCCCGGGCUCAACCUGGGAACUGCAUUGGUGACUGGCAGGCUAGAGUAUGGCAGAGGGGGGUAGAAUUCCACGUGUAGCAGUGAAAUGCGUAGAGAUGUGGAGGAAUACCGAUGGCGAAGGCAGCCCCCUGGGCCAAUACUGACGCUCAUGCACGAAAGCGUGGGGAGCAAAACAGGAUUAGAUACCCUGGUAGUCCACGCCCUAAACGAUGUCAACUAGUUGUUGGGGAUUCAUUUCCUUAGUAACGUAGCUAACGCGUGAAGUUGACCGCCUGGGGAGUAC